ACUUAGUAUGGUGGUUAUGACACUUGGCUUGGAACCGAGUAUGCUCGGGUUCGAAUCCCGAAUAAAGUA
This is a non-coding RNA of Trichonephila inaurata madagascariensis, 69 nucleotides long. The record is from the annotation of a GenBank genome assembly. Lineage: Eukaryota; Metazoa; Arthropoda; Arachnida; Araneae; Nephilidae.